GGCUUAGGAGAAGGACCGCACCAAGUACAUCACUACCUUGCUGAUGCUUCACAGGGAUGGAACAGACUCGAAGUAGGCUACUGCAAAGUUGUUAACUUGUUGAAUGCCUUGUACACGCUGUUCAACGCCUUCAUUUCCAACUAUGACGUCUAAAAGGUUGAAAGUAUCGAUGAUGCCUACAUGUUGGUCUCCUGCCUACUGAUCCGUAAUGGCAGCCGUCAUGCUGGUAUGAUCGCCUCCACUGCAUGGCAUCUCCUGGAGGGCGUUGAUAGUUGAUCAUGCCACACAAACUGACAAGAUGAGAAACUCAAACUCCUCAUCGGUAUUCACUCAGGGCAAAGGUGAAAGCCUGACGUACUGGCUCGAGGGACAUGAUCCAAGCUACAAGAUCGACCAAAUCAAGCCACCCAAACAAAACUUGUAAACAACCAGAAUAUUAUCCCAACAUUAUCUGCAACGCAUUUGGAUCAGCAAUUUUUUGUAAAGAGGUGAUGGCAGAUCUACCAGCUCACUUCACAUCAGAGAGCUCUCUUGAGAAGCACUAUAGAAG
RNAcentral lists this long non-coding RNA (550 nucleotides) under Patiria miniata (bat star). RNAcentral's name for it is "uncharacterized LOC119724125, transcript variant X1". The record is from RNAcentral. Lineage: Eukaryota; Metazoa; Echinodermata; Asteroidea; Valvatida; Asterinidae.